CACGUAGGGUGCGAGCGUUGUCCGGAAUUAUUGGGCGUAAAGAGUUCGUAGGCGGUUUGUUAAGUCUGAUGUAAAAGACUGGGGCUCAACCUCGGGACUGCAUUGGAUACUGGCAGACUGGAGUACGGUAGAGGCAAGUGGAAUUCCCAGUGUAGCGGUGAAAUGCGCAGAUAUCGGGAAGAACACCGGUGGCGAAGGCGGCUCUCUGGGCCUGUCCUGACGCUCAGGCGCGAAAGCUAGGGGAGCGAACAGG
This 253-nucleotide ribosomal RNA is filed under the name uncultured bacterium. RNAcentral describes it as "partial 16S ribosomal RNA". It matches the Rfam family "Bacterial small subunit ribosomal RNA", at positions 524 to 776 of the family's 1533-position model. The record is from RNAcentral.